This 192-nucleotide small RNA is filed under the name Isobaculum melis. Its description in RNAcentral is "Listeria sRNA rli28". It matches the Rfam family "Listeria sRNA rli28". Lineage: Bacteria; Bacillati; Bacillota; Bacilli; Lactobacillales; Carnobacteriaceae. The record is from Rfam by way of RNAcentral.
UACCUUAUGCUAUAAUAAAUGUGUAGAGAGUUUAAAGUGGUGGCUAAUUUCUGAUUAAAGAGGUGAUGCCUAUGUAUAAAAUUUUUGCUAUUAGGCUAAAACCUGGAAAGGAAUAGCUUUGAGUAUUUAUGAAGCACUGAUGUUUGCAAUUGCUUUUGCAAUGUUAGUGCUCAAAAUCUCUGGAAAUAACAA